AGGGUUUGAUUCUGGCUCAGGAUGAACGCUAGCGGCAGGCCUAACACAUGCAAGUCGAGGGGCAGCACGGGGUAGCAAUACUCUGGUGGCGACCGGCGCACGGGUGCGUAACGCGUAUGCAACCUACCCAUAACAGGGGGAUAACACUGAGAAAUUGGUACUAAUAUCCCAUAACAUCCGGAACGGCAUCGUUCUGGGUUGAAAACUCCGGUGGUUAUGGAUGGGCAUGCGUUGUAUUAGCUAGUUGGUGAGGUAACGGCUCACCAAGGCAACGAUACAUAGGGGGACUGAGAGGUUAACCCCCCACAUUGGUACUGAGACACGGACCAA
This 330-nucleotide ribosomal RNA is filed under the name uncultured bacterium. Its description in RNAcentral is "bacterial SSU rRNA". It matches the Rfam family "Bacterial small subunit ribosomal RNA", at positions 8 to 334 of the family's 1533-position model. The record is from RNAcentral.